Taeniopygia guttata (zebra finch) is the source of this 3774-nucleotide long non-coding RNA. The record is from Ensembl. NCBI's taxonomy places the organism in Eukaryota, Metazoa, Chordata, Aves, Passeriformes, Estrildidae.
GCACAAUAACAGAUCCCACUCAGAGCUAUUGCAAACUCAAGUACUUGGGAGAGUUUUGCAUCUCACAUCGCAGAGGGAGCAUACUUCUGCAAUAGCAUCAUUGCUUCUCAAAUUGGGUAUUUGAGAGACUUCCUAAUGACCUCAUAGCAGCACAUGUGACCACUAAGUCAUCUUCUCAAAGGACCAGGAAUAACAUCAACAGACCCUGUUUUGGUUGUGCACAGGACAGCUUUCCUCAGCACAAGCAGGUUCCUAAACAGCGAGGAAGCAGAAAGGAGCAGGACCCAGCUCAGGCCAGAGCUGGCAUCGUGAUUGUUUCUCCAGCAGAUUCUGCUUGGCCUUGGAAAAGAUACAGCCAAUUAAAAGAUGAAGACUCAUUAGCACAUACUAAAUUCCACAUACAAAUUUAGACACAAAAGCUUGUUUAUCCCAAUGCAGGCCAAAUUCAUUGGGUUUAAAGGCAUCUAUAUGAUAAUGUGAAUCCCAGAAGUAUUCCAAAGACAUUCCAAGAGAUAAGAGGUGAACUCAAAAAACAUGAAAUAAUUACUUGAAAGGGUUUCCAAUUUUUUUUUUUUCUCCCAGUGCUUAAAAAUAACCCGCUAUGCUGAGCAGCAAAGCAGGAAUUAGGAAUUUAUAGGUGAUGAACUGGUGAGUUGAUCACAUUGGGAUGGGGAAGUUGUCUUUUGCUGACCCCAAGGAAGGUGGCACUGGGUGAAAUAAAUGAGUGAACACCUGUAAUUAUGUUAACACUGAGGUGAAGGCAACUACACAAACAGCUCAAGCCAUACUGAUGGUGUUGAACACCUGAGGAGAUCCCUCCUCUGUACCCAGCACAAGGCUUCUGCAGAGGAAAUGGGACAAAAUCCCACUGUGGAGCUGUCAGGAGAUCUGCACCAGACAACUUCCUCAGUUACCAACAGUGAUAUGGGAACACACAUCCAAGCAAGAACAAGGAACAUCAUCAAAUAGCAACCAAGAGCUUCUUCUGCCAGGUGUCUCCUGCAGCAGCAGCCCACCAAACCUCCCGUCCUUCCCCAGGGCUCUGCUCCAUGGGCCUUACAUUCCUUGCCUCCCACCCAGCCCAGCUAUGGCAGCACCUCCACCUGCCCAAUCCCAGGAAGGUUCCAGCAGGAUCUGGUGAUCCUGGGAGCACCAACAGCUCCUGUCACACACGACCAGGAUAUCACCUAAGUGGCCUUGGGCUAAACACAGACACAGUUGAGGAACACAGGAGGCUAGACCUGCACAAUGUUAAAGCUUUUUAUUCUUUCAGUGAGAGGUGGUGAAGGCCAACUCCUGCCUUCACCUUUCCAGGAACUUUUGAUGGAACACAGAAGCCUGCUGUGAAAGUGCUCUGUUUACACCCUGCAGCCCUGUCCUGUCUUUACCCAGAGUGAGUGUGUUCACUCCCACUACCCCAUGAAACAUCUGCUCAGCCCAGCUCUGCUGGAAUCGUCCUUCCACUGCAAAGAAAUCCACUUCCAGCCAUAAACCUGGGAAAAGAGGGAAGUGGGGCAGAGUUUAGCAUGAGGAGGAGGGCAGUUUGAGACAUGACAUCUUCCAAGAAAUGCUGACAAACCACCUCUACAUGCCAGGUGCUGACUAGAGCUGCUCUGCAGGGUACCAGAAGGCUCAGAGCUGACAAGACAGAGCAUGUGGUGACAUUACAGACACCUGAUGUGGGACACACCCUUCCCAAGAGGUGCAAAACAAAGGCUGCAAGGGGAGCACUUACCUUCCACCACAUUCCGUGCCAAGGACGUUUUUCCUGCUCUGAAGGGAGAUGAUCUUCGUCCUCAAGAGGGCAAGUACCAGAGCAGAAGUUUACCUCUCAGGCACUUCACAAAUCACCAGGCCAACCUCUGGCCCAGCCAUGGGACAGAUACCUUCUCAUGUUCCCAGAUGAUAAAGUUCUGCAGCUGUGCCACACUCUCUCUUCCUGGGCACCCAGGCAGCUGCUCAGCAAAGCCCUGUCCUGCUGGGACUCAGGAGCAGAGGCCUCCACAGCUCCUCUCCCAGGAGUCAGAAUGGCUGGGGAGGUGGACACGGAGGAACAAUGACUCUACCCCAGCUCCAAAAAUCUCUCUCAGAGCUUUAAUGUUACCAGGAAAGCUCCAAACAGGAGCAGCCUCACAUUUGCCCUUUGUUUGAACAACAGGGUCCCCAUCGUAGGCUGCUUCAAAAGUGAGGAGGGGUAACCCCAGGUCAGAAGCAGGGCAGUGAGCUCAGCUUCAGUUGCUGCAGUGACAAAGGCCCAGAGAAGACGUCACCCAGAGGACUGAGCUGCUGGCACAGAGCAGUGCUCAGCAAGGACACACUUGUAAACACCCUCCCUGGCCAUCAACGCUGACACAGCCACGAGAAAGGGGCAGAGAAAACCAUUAUGUGCAAACAGACAUCCCUCCCUAUCCCUGGACACCGGGACCAGCCCAAGCAGGACAUCUCCAGCCUUCCUCUUGUCUGCCUGUUGAGCCAAAAACCCUCUGGCAUCCUGCUGCAGACGAGAAUCACUGCCACGUUAAGGAAGGGCUCAACUCCCAUAAAGCAGAAAAAAAGCUCUGGGGUUUUGACCCCUAAUCCCUGGAAGCAGUUGGUAUAUUCAGCAGGCACAUGUCCUCUUUCAAAGCUGGCCUUUCUUCUUGAAGCACUAGGUAGUAUCUAACAUCCUGAGCAUUAUUUUUCACAUGUUCCUCCCCACCACAGCUCUUUCUGCCCAUCAUCCCUGUCAGGAGUUUGGAGCAAGGACACGGUGUAAAGUGUCCUGACAAGCAGAGCUACACAGGUCCUGGGACUGCUGGGGACAAAGUCCUGCUGUCUCUCUUACAGUGAUACUUCCCCACAAUUUCUUCCUCUCUCCCAGAAGUUUCCCAGAUAAAUCUGUGUUGUCAUAUCACAUCUCAAAACUACAAGCUGUGGGGAUCUGAGGAGACCAAUGUCUGAGUAGUGAUUCCACAUCCAGCUCAGAGAAAAGCUAAUCAGCAUCCUUCACCAGAGAUUUUAUUGCAGACACAGAAAACAACAGCAGAAAAACCAAAGAAAACCAUAAGCACUGGCUGCAAGCUUCAUCAAGGAGGAACAGCACGAGGGAAGGGAGAGAUUCAGCACCAGCCGUGUGAUUUUCCCAGCAAGGGACACCAACCCAACUGAAUGGGCAGAGCUCAGCUUGUGGCAGCAAUGCCACUACAGCUCCUCCCCUGCAGCACACAGAGACAGACCUCUGCAAAAACAAGUGGUGCAUGGAAAAACCCCUGAAGCCCUUUACAGCUGCUGCUCCAGGACCCUCAGGCCACACAACCCCAAACCUGACCUCUGCACUUUGGACCAGGGCGAGCACAUGGAGAGCAGCUGGCAACAGUGAUCCUCACAUUUCUGUGAUUCCUCAGCAAGGACCCUCAUCUUCAAAUAACCAGACCACGCAGAAGCCCAUGAUCCCAAGCCCUUUUGGCUGCCCUUUCUGGCAUGGAAACAAAAGGCAGGAGCACUUCAGAUGUGCAAGAUACCAAAGGGCCCCUCCACUAGUGAGAAUUUGUAACCCACCCAAGGACACUGCUGCUCAUUCACAACACCAGAUUCAUCCUAGACAAGGACUGGUGUGCACUCUAACAGGAGCACAACAUAAUCUCCAGAGCAGACAGCAGUGCCAAGAUGAGGACCAGACCACAGGAGCUCUCCUUUUCACAAAGAGGCCUUGGCUAGGGAAGCUUCCACCUCCUCAGCAGCUCUUUCCAUCUCAGCCAUUUCCCUUCCAAGCAAGGCUUCCUGGCCGGAGCAAGC